This 440-nucleotide ribosomal RNA is filed under the name uncultured bacterium. RNAcentral describes it as "partial 16S ribosomal RNA". It matches the Rfam family "Bacterial small subunit ribosomal RNA", at positions 338 to 795 of the family's 1533-position model. The record is from RNAcentral.
CCUACGGGCGGCAGCAGUGGGGAAUAUUGCGCAAUGGGGGCAACCCUGACGCAGCAACGCCGCGUGAUUGAAGAAGGCCUUCGGGUUGUAAAGAUCUUUAAUCGGGGACGAAUUUUGACGGUACCUGAAGAAAAAGCAUCGGCUAACUCCGUGCCAGCAGCCGCGGUAAUACGGAGGAUGCGAGCGUUAUCCGGAUUUAUUGGGUUUAAAGGGUGCGCAGGCGGAGGCACAAGUCAGCGGUAAAAUCGCGGGGCUCAACCCCGCUCCGCCGUUGAAACUGUGUCCCUUGAGUGCGCGAAGGGUAGGCGGAAUGCGUGGUGUAGCGGUGAAAUGCAUAGAUAUCACGCAGAACUCCGAUCGCGAAGGCAGCCUACCGGCGCGCAACUGACGCUCAUGCACGAAAGCGUGGGUAUCGAACAGGAUUAGAUACCCCAGUAGUC